RNAcentral lists this ribosomal RNA (491 nucleotides) under uncultured bacterium. Its description in RNAcentral is "partial 16S ribosomal RNA". It matches the Rfam family "Bacterial small subunit ribosomal RNA", at positions 29 to 506 of the family's 1533-position model. The record is from RNAcentral.
AGUGAACGCUGGCGGUAGGCCUAACACAUGCAAGUCGAACGGCAGCACAGUAAGAGCUUGCUCUUACGGGUGGCGAGUGGCGGACGGGUGAGGAAUACAUCGGAAUCUACUUUUUCGUGGGGGAUAACGUAGGGAAACUUACGCUAAUACCGCAUACGACCUACGGGUGAAAGCAGGGGAUCUUCGGACCUUGCGCGAUUGAAUGAGCCGAUGUCGGAUUAGCUAGUUGGCGGGGUAAAGGCCCACCAAGGCGACGAUCCGUAGCUGGUCUGAGAGGAUGAUCAGCCACACUGGAACUGAGACACGGUCCAGACUCCUACGGGAGGCAGCAGUGGGGAAUAUUGGACAAGGGGCGCAAGCCUGAUCCAGCCAUACCGCGUGGGUGAAGAAGGCCUUCGGGUGGUAAAGCCCUUUUGUUGGGAAAGAAAAGCAGCAGGUUAAGACCCCGCUGUUCGGACGGUACCCAAAGAAUAAGCACCGGCUAACUUCGU